Long non-coding RNA from Planococcus citri (citrus mealybug), 1666 nucleotides. RefSeq lists it as uncharacterized. The record is from RefSeq and is a predicted model, not a curated record. NCBI's taxonomy places the organism in Eukaryota, Metazoa, Arthropoda, Insecta, Hemiptera, Pseudococcidae. The transcript has 3 exons.
CUUAUCUCCUGAUGGCCAGAUUGAAGAACGUUGAUAACAAACACUAACAUGCUUCGUAGUAUACAGAAAUUUCUCAAGAAAUAAACAUUUUACAUUCCUAUCAUUCAACUCGCGUAAGAAGACCACCAGAAGAGGCGACGACAUCAUAUUUCCUUGAAUCUGCAGAUUCUCCAGAAAGUGACAAGUUCGCCUAGAAGACUUCUAGAUUUCUUUAAAUGGCGAGAGGGAGGUGAAAUGAUUUCAGAAACUAGAAUAUUAAGCUCUUUCGAGUUAGCAUUGCCCGGUUCAAAAUAUCGCUUGUCGAUUGGAGACAUUGGAGUACGAGUCCCUUCUUUGCCUACAGCCAAGUCAUGAAUUUUUCAAAUUUGGAAACAUACCUGCUCAGAAUUUUGUAAGUCAGAGCGAUCGAUUGAACAAUAAAAAAUGUUAACACAUAAGGGUAAACAGAAGGAUGGGACAGCAGACCCGAAGACGUCGAUGGAAAAGUUCGGUAGACGCGAUAAAACCCAAAAAAGAAGCAAAUAAAACCAGCAGGUAGGUAGACAAAAUCACCAAUUUAAAAGCAAAAAAAAGGAUUUCGCACCCUAAAUUCAAACUCGUUUCUGCAACGACAUCACGAUCGCCAUUUUCAACACCUACAGGAUGAUUUGUAUACAAAGUAUAUAUACGUAAACGUAUCCAUUCACCGUCACCCCAGUUGCUUUUGACAGGACGUAAUCCGUCCACCGAUGAGAUGGUUUUUUUGCAGUGAAAGAGGCGAAAUGACGGAUUAAUAGAACACUCGUAUUUCGGCGAGUCGAGAGCUAGGAAAAACGGAAACUGCGACUUGGUACAUAUAAUCCGUGCAAAGGCAACAGAAAAGACCACCCUUUGUACGUAUCUACAAUGUCGACGUCGGCGUCGCGUCGCCUUCAGCUACCUACUCGUAGUUCAAUCGUAUAACACACGCUAGAGUCCAUAAUAUAAAAGAGGCAAAACACUAUUACGACGAGCUGAAGUUCUCAACCUAUUUUCUCUUUUUUCCCUCUUUGGUUCCACCCAUUACACAUAUCGUCAAGAUUAACUUUACAGUCUCUCAAAACCAAACUGAUCGAUAAACCAGCAGACUUAUCAAACGAUACCACGUUAACCAUAUGGAUUUUCCGCGACCGCCGCCAACGCGCCAGGGCCAGCAGCAUUCCCAAAUGGCACAGCUUGGAACAGGCUACAGAGUACAGCUACAGUACAGCAAAUAAUAUAUCUGCCAGUAACCAUUUGAAAGCCUGCGCUCAUUAGAGCGAGCCGAUCUAAUGUAAUGAUAAAAUGUCCACCGACCACCGCCAUGUCCAUCAACAACACACGUAUAACGUGUGUGUGGUGCGUUUAUCUUAUCUUCGAGCUCGCUAAAUAAGCUGUUAGUCAACCCAACCGUCCGAAAUUGCGCUUCACGUACAUUACAAUAAUAGUACGUACAUAUCAGGAAACUGAAGCAGCUCGAGCUCGAGCAUGUAGAUCGAGAAAUGGGUGAAAUAAGGCUGUACGCGUCAUCAAUCGUGUACCGAGAAUUUUCCACGUAGGUAUAGGUACUUAACUCACCAUCCGUAGUUAUCUACCGAAAGAUGCAAUCAUUCCAUCCAAAGUACUCGUAAGUUCUUUUCAUUAGUUGAUGGUAUAUAACUCUUCGAGA